CUGACAACUUACUCCCUGGUCAGUGGCUCUCCAUGCCUACCUGUGGUUUCUUGGACACCCUUGCAGAAGAUGACUUCCUGGGAACUCUUCUGAGAGUGAAUGUUAUCAGCAAAUUCCCAAAACAACACCCCUUAGACAAAAAGCCUCCUCACCUAUGCAUUGCCUAGGCCACCCACUAAAGGUGAUGGCCACAAAGAGGUGGAUUUGUUGAGUUGGUGCCAUUCCUUCUA
Long non-coding RNA from Theropithecus gelada (gelada), 230 nucleotides. The record is from Ensembl. Lineage: Eukaryota; Metazoa; Chordata; Mammalia; Primates; Cercopithecidae.